This is a long non-coding RNA of Periophthalmus magnuspinnatus, 561 nucleotides long. RefSeq lists it as uncharacterized. The record is from RefSeq and is a predicted model, not a curated record. The transcript has 3 exons. NCBI's taxonomy places the organism in Eukaryota, Metazoa, Chordata, Actinopteri, Gobiiformes, Gobiidae.
UUAUUCUAGUGAAGGUGUGUGGAGUCCUGUAUUACCACAUGAUGACAUCACAAGGUGGAACAGAGUGUUUUCAGUUUAAGAGAAGAACUAAAUAUGCAGGUUUGUUUGUGUGUUAAACAUGUGUGAAUGAAACAAAAACCACAGCUCCAGGUCUGUUUGCGACGAGGAAACGACAUGACAACACUGAUCAAACGUUUUACCUUGAUUAUUUUGCAUUUAUUUAUUUAUUUUUUCACUCUUUCUGCUGCGUUGUCGUAUUUUGUGCACAGGGGAGAGAUAGUCCAGAGCCAGACGAGGACCUCAUGAGUUUGAGGAGUUGUCCGUCUAGACAGUGUGAUGACAGGACACACACCGCUGUUUAAUGCUGCGGACUCCUCCCUGAGCUUCCACAACACACCACCUGCCCUCCGCUGCCAGGGAAAGCUGCUUCAAAUUUCACGUUUCUUCCCAACCCCAAAGACCUGCCCGAGGUUUGACGCGAACGCCAGAAGACAGGAAGCAGGAGAUCUCAGGAUAAGAUAAAGAGUCGGAGCAGACGCCGCGGUGGAGCAAAUACACCAC